ACAGACUUCGUGGUGCUGGAUA
This 22-nucleotide non-coding RNA is filed under the name Arabidopsis thaliana (thale cress). Lineage: Eukaryota; Viridiplantae; Streptophyta; Magnoliopsida; Brassicales; Brassicaceae. The record is from RNAcentral.